Hemibagrus wyckioides is the source of this 362-nucleotide long non-coding RNA. RefSeq lists it as uncharacterized. Lineage: Eukaryota; Metazoa; Chordata; Actinopteri; Siluriformes; Bagridae. The record is from RefSeq and is a predicted model, not a curated record. The transcript has 3 exons.
CCUUUGACAUUCAUGCUUUUCUUCCUCUUGGUCUUGGUCUUUCUGUCGGUCAUGGGGGACGAUGGAGUGAGGUCUUUUCCCAGAGAAGGGCUUGUAGCCCCCUCAAUGCUUGAUUCUGCUGGAUGGAGACAAGAGAUGAAACAUCUAGAACAGCCAGCAGCCUCAUCAACAGUCAGAAGAGCUGGAAUACAAGACACAAGUCAUGAAAAAGUAAACUAAAAAACAGGCCAUUGACCCCAGGAGUAGGAGUAGUGGCUGGAGCAGGGCCAGCUGGAGGUGCUGCCCUGUGUGGAUGCUUUCCUGGUACCUUUACAGUUACACGCAGCAAGUCCAUCUCCUUACCAUGGGUGCUCUGCCUAUAG